UCAGGCUCAAAUGCGAGAUUUAACUGGCUUUGUUGAGACACGACAACAACUUUUGACACUCAAGUCAAAUCACCGCAUGAACUGGAUUGGCUUUGCUGUCGCACACCAUUUAAACUCAAAUGCAUCAAAGGCUAUUGAAAUUCUGGAAGUGUAUGAAGGGACAUUGGAAGAUGAUUAUCCUCCAGAAAAUGAACGCUGUGAGCAUGGGGAAAUGCUUUUGUAUAAGAUCUCUUUGUUAGAAGAAUGCGGAUUUUUUGAAAAGGCUCUUGAGGAGUUGCAAAAGAAAGAGUUAAAAAUUGUUGAUAAGCUUGCAUAUAAAGAACAGGAGGUUUCACUUUUAGUCAAGCUUGACUGCUUAGAAGAAGGGGAGAAAUUGUACCGGGCAUUACUUUCCAUGAAUCCUGACAAUUAUAGAUAUUAUGAAGGCCUCCAAAAAUGUGUUGGAUUAUAUUCAGAAAAUGGCCAUUUUUCUCCUGAUGAAAUUGAUCGGUUAGAUGCCUUGUACAAAACACUAGGGCAGCAAUAUAAGUGGUCUUCUGCUGUUAAGUCAUUGUAUAUAAACUACCCUGGUAUUGAUUGGGGAAAGCUCUUCAGAUCAGUAGAAUACCACUGGAUUUUUUACAAAGUGACAAGUUUCGAGAAGCAGCAGAUAGGUAUAUUAGGCCUCUCCUAACUAAGGGUGUCCCAUCUCUAUUCUCUGAUCUUUCUUCAUAUACAAUCAACCUGGGAAGACAUUUUGGAACAGAUCAUUCUUGAGUUAGAGAGUUCAAUUAAGACCACUGGCCAAUACCCUGGAAGG
Molecule: non-coding RNA, 799 nt
Organism: Cajanus cajan (pigeon pea)
Lineage: Eukaryota; Viridiplantae; Streptophyta; Magnoliopsida; Fabales; Fabaceae
Source: RefSeq, a predicted model, not a curated record